Molecule: ribosomal RNA, 460 nt
Filed under: uncultured bacterium
Lineage: Bacteria
Description: partial 16S ribosomal RNA
Rfam family: Bacterial small subunit ribosomal RNA
Source: RNAcentral
CCUACGGGAGGCAGCAGUGAGGAAUAUUGGGCAAUGGACGAGAGUCUGAACCAGCCAAGUAGCGUGAAGGAUGACUGCCCUAUGGGUUGUAAACUUCUUUUAUAAAGGAAUAAAACGAGGCACGUGUGCCUUUUUGCAUGUACUUUAUGAAUAAGGAUCGGCUAACUCCGUGCCAGCAGCCGCGGUAAUACGGAGGAUCCGAGCGUUAUCCGGAUUUAUUGGGUUGAAAGGGAGCGUAGAUGGGUUGUUAAGUCAGUUGUGAAAGUUUGCGGCUCAACCGUAAAAUUGCAAUUGAUACUGGGAGUCUUGAGUACAGUUGAGGUAGGCGGAAUGCGUGGUGUAGCGGUGAAAUGCUUAGAUAUCACGAAGAACCCCGAUUGCGAAGGCAGCUUACUAAACUGUGACUGACAUUGAUGCUCGAAAGUGUGGGUAUCAAACAGGAUUAGAUACCCCAGUAGUC